GAGAACGAGAGACGGAUGAGUAUUUAUGAUUGUAAGUAUCGCAGGAUGGAUGAACAGACACUUAUAAAAUGAAGAAACUCGUUGUUUGAAACUAUUUUGCUAGAGGCAGAAUUAAAAAAAAAUCUUAAUCAAUUACGGAUUCUUCAAAUGCGCAUCAAGUAGGGAUCUACGCCAGAUGAAGAAUUAACGCAUUUUCCAAUGUAAACUCAACAUUUCCGAGUCAGAACGGUGCGUAGGCGAUGCACGCUGUUAAUGUGAAUGGACUCCGUGUCUCUCUCCUUUUGUUAACGCUGUUUUCAUCAAAUUAGCGCAGCCCCUACUACGCUGCACCCCCCUUUUCGGACGGCCAGCAGACAGCUAAGGACCUGGGUUCUAUCUAGAAGAGAGACCGCUCUCCUGUGGUCGAAAGCCUGACCUCUCACCUCUCAUUCCCCGCUCUAGGAGAGGAUCUCAUCGGUAUGAAAGCACCAGAAACAGCUAUUUUGUAGGGAACCCGUCUGGCAGGGAAGCAGCAACAAAUCCCCGUUUUCAGACUGUGAUUUUGGGGGACGCGGGCUCGCGGUAGGGGGGAGGGGGACCUCGCGUAUCACAAUGGAAUUAGAGUUUUACAAUACGUCCCCAGUGCGCUAAGGAACACAACCUUAUUCCGUACACUACUGUACUUUACCCUCUCAGCUGAAGUCUUUUUUCCCCUUAUUUUUUUAAACCACCAAAUCCGUGAUGCCGCAUUUCGUGGGGUGAAGGUGCCGAACGCGAGGAAAAGGAGAGAGAGAAGAGAGGGAAGGACGGAGGAGAAAGAGAGAUUCGGAGAGCAUGGAUCUUGCAACGUUGUCUCUCUGUGUGCUAACUCUCACCUGGGCAAACUUGUACCAGGUGUGUGCCAACAGGCACGCGGUGCAUUGGAACAGCUCCAAUAUACAACAGACAGAGGUGGAACAGAUGGAGAGAGAGACCAGAGAGAUGGAAUGGAGGGAGAUAGAGAACCGGGUGAGAGAGGGAGCAGAACCAGAAACGGCUCUUUUCCCUGUCUGUCCAUUCUGCGUAGGGAGGGCUACACGGUGCAGGUGAAUGUGAACGACUACCUGGACAUCUACUGUCCCCACUACAAUGACAGCCAGCGCGUGGUGGGCACCGGGGAGCAGUACAUCCUCUACAUGGUCAGCUACCGUGGUUACAGGACCUGUGACCCCCAGCUGGGCUUCAAGAGGUGGGAGUGUAACCGCCCCCACGCACCAAUCAAAUUCUCAGAGAAGUUCCAGCGCUACAGCGCCUUCUCCCUGGGCUACGAGUUCCACGUGGGCCAGGAGUAUUACUACAUCUCUACACCCACUCAUCACCACGGUCGCAGCUGCCUCAGACUGAGAGUGUAUGUCUGCUGCUCCACAGUGUCUGAUGUUAAUGUAGAACCAGGACAUCCAGAAACAGACUACACACUCAGACCAGACAUCAAAAUCCAGGACAUUGAUGAUUUUAACCCUGAGAUUCCUAAACUGGAGAAGAGUGUCAGUGGAAGCAGCCCAUCCAGGGAUCGCCUACUCAUCACCAUAGCGACGCUCCUUCUCGCUGCCAUCACCAUCUCCUAGCAACGGCCAUCCCAUCAGUGUCGCCAUACCAACCAGCCAUGGAAGACGACAUUCACACAGAGCAUGAAGAGAAGACCUUUUAUGACUUUGGACAUUGGGCCUGCAUGUGUAGGGCUAGUUGCCUGUUUCUUGCACCGGAGACUGAACUGAUUGAACUUGACUGAAAUGAACUCAAUUAUUGCCUUUUUGUUCUGUCAACUGGAUUCAACCAGAUCUAGUCUGGAUCCCUUCUGUGGAACUGGAUCUAGUGGUCCUCCACCCAUGUGAUCUGGUCUGAUCUGGACCGUAGCAGCCUGGUAUGAAAAGCCAGUCUGGAUCCCGGUUUCUGAACUGGGAAGUGGGACCACCCAGUCUAAUGUGAGAGAGGGAGAGGGCGCUACAGUGCUGUAUCAGAGUAGUAAUAUGUGUCAAUACAAUGACAGCUAUAGGUUCCAGGUCAGUGGUUGUAUACAUUGUUAUACACAUUGAUACAACCUCUGGCUCAUCAUUAAACCCCCUAGAGACAUGUUUGUCCUUUAUUCAUUCAUUCCUGGAUAGCAUUAUCUCUGAUCUCAGAGGUCAGAAAAGCACACAGCAAUACUGUCAUCGAAUGCAUUGUAUUGGAUUGUACACUGAGGACCUCUCUUCCUCUCUCCUGGAAUCGGAUGGAAUGGGACUACAUACCACAGACUCUACAUCCUCUCUCCUGGAAUCGGAUGGAAUGGGACUACAUACCAAAGACUACUUCCUCUCUCCUGGAAUCGGAUGGAAUGGGACUACAUACCACAGACUCUACUUCCUCUCUCCUGGAAUCGGAUGGAAUGGGACUACAUACCACAGACUCUACUUCCUCUCUCCUGGAAUCAGAUGGAAUGGGACUACAUACCACAGACUCUCUCCUGGAAUCAGAUGGAAUGGGACUACAUACCACAGACUCUCUCCUGGAAUCAGAUGGAAUGGGACUACAUACCACAGACUCUACUUCCUCUCUCCUGGAAUCAGAUGGAAUGGGACUACAUACCACAGACUCUCUCCUGGAAUCAGAUGGAAUGGGACUACAUACCACAGACUCUACUUCCUCUCUCCUGGAAUCAGAUGGAAUGGGACUACAUACCACAGACUCUCUCCUGGAAUCAGAUGGAAUGGGACUACAUACCACAGACUCUACUUCCUCUCUCCUGGAUUCGGAUGGAAUGGGACUACAUACCACAGACUCUCUCCUGGAAUCAGAUGGAAUGGGACUACAUACCACAGACUCUCUCCUGGAAUCAGAUGGAAUGGGACUACAUACCACAGACUCUACUUCCUCUCUCCUGGAAUCAGAUGGAAUGGGACUACAUACCACAGACUCUCUCCUGGAAUCAGAUGGAAUGGGACUACAUACCACAGACUCUCUCCUGGAAUCAGAUGGAAUGGGACUACAUACCACAGACUCUACUUCCUCUCUCCUGGAAUCGGAUGGAAUGGGACUACAUACCACAGACUCUACUUCCUCUCUCCUGGAAUCAGAUGGAAUGGGACUACAUACCACAGACUACUUCCUCUCUCCUGGAAUCAGAUGGAAUGGGACUACAUACCAAAGACUACUUCCUCUCUCCUGGAAUCAGAUGGAAUGGGACUACAUACCACAGACUCUACUUCCUCUCUCCUGGAAUCAGAUGGAAUGGGACUACAUACCACAGACUACUUCCUCUCUCCUGGAAUCGGAUGGAAUGGGACUACAUACCACAGACUCUACUUCCUCUCUCCUGGAAUCGGAUGGAAUGGGACUACAUACCACAGACUCUACUUCCUCUCUCCUGGAAUCGGAUGGAAUGGGACUACAUACCACAGACUCUACUGCCUCUCUCCUGGAAUCGGAUGGAAUGGGACUACAUACCACAGACUCUACUUCCUCUCUCCUGGAAUCGGAUGGAAUGGGACUACAUACCACAGACUCUACUUCCUCUCUCCUGGAAUCAGAUGGAAUGGGACUGCAUACCACAGACUCUACUUCCUCUCUCCUGGAAUCAGAUGGAAUGGGACUACAUACCACAGACUCUACUGCCUCUCUCCUGGAAUCAGAUGGAAUGGGACUACAUACCACAGACUCUACAUCCUCUCUCCUGGAAUCGGAUGGAAUGGGACUACAUACCACAGACUCUACUUCCUCUCUCCUGGAAUCAGAUGGAAUGGGACUACAUACCACAGACUCUACUUCCUCUCUCUUGGAAUCGGAUGGAAUGGGACUACAUACCACAGACUACUUCCUCUCUCCUGGAAUCGGAUGGAAUGGGACUACAUACAGACUCUACAUGCCAAACUCUUCUGUGUAUUUUACCGUACACACUAGAACUAGAAUCACUCUGUGUGUGUGUGUGUGUGUGUGUGUGUGUGUGUGUGUGUGUGUGUGUGUGUGUGUGUACUGACAAUACACACAGCAACAUACUGUACAUGUCUUAAGUUUAAGUAACUGAACAAACCAAGUGUAUCUGAACAUAUAGACAACCCUAAAUAAACCUUGGGUUUAGGUUCUACAUACAAACCCAGUGUAUCUGGGAGGACAGGAGAACAAUGGGUUAAACUUUAUCCUACAGUCCUCUAUUGACAUGGUAUUUUCCUAAAACAGGUUUCUUUGGGAUCAUAGAAACAAUCAUUUUGGCAGUUACCCAUUGUAUAGGUACCAGAAAGUACAUAUUGUUGCCAUUACGUCUUAGUAAAUACUAGGUAAAUACUGUCUGAAGGAGGACUGUAAAAUGAAGUGUUACUGAACAAUGUGAACUGUACUGACCUGUUACCAUGGUUCUUGACUAACUCUUUUCACUAGAAACUGUCACCUUGUGGGCCAUGGUAACACCUUACCUUACUGCAAUGUGUACAGGCUGUCUACUGUAGUAGGGCAUGCAUGGCUGACUGUAGAAGCUCUGAAGAUGAUGAUGAUGAAGGUAUGGAUGGCCUAUCGGAUACAGAGCUGACGUCUGACCUAUAGGGGUCAAAGAGGUCGCACGUCUUGACCCGUGUCACAGACAUUCUAGAACUUUCACGCGUCGAGAAUGGAUUUUUCAGAUGUCUUGAACUCUGACGGAAUGAAAUGUGAUGUAAGCAUUUUUACAAACUUGAAGCUGAAUUUCCUUGUUGUGUUUGUAUUUUUUAUUUUGCUGUUGUGUAUCUUGGGGCGCUGGGAAGGGGUAAACGUUGGGAUGACUGGGCUAGAGACAUGCAGUACUGUAUAGGAUAAGGAGUUCCACUAACGUUGGGAUGACUGGGAUAGAGACAUGCAGUACUGUAUAGGAUAAGGAGUUCCACUAACGUUGGGAUGACUGGGAUAGAGACAUGCAGUACUGUAUAGGAUAAGGAGUUCCACUAACGUUGGGAUGACUGGGAUAGAGACAUGCAGUACUGUAUAGGAUAAGGAGUUCCACUAACGUGGUUUGAGAUUUACAAUUUCAAUAAGCACCGUGUUGCACCAAAUGUUUCCAGUCCGUCACAUUGGAAUGAUACUGUCAUUGAAACGUGGUGCCGGCAUGGAGGACAGUUGGCUGAGAUCAGUAUGUAUACAGUAUGUAUGGC
Molecule: long non-coding RNA, 5111 nt
Filed under: Salmo salar (Atlantic salmon)
Lineage: Eukaryota; Metazoa; Chordata; Actinopteri; Salmoniformes; Salmonidae
Description: lncRNA (ENSSSAG00000087724.1)
Source: RNAcentral